This 78-nucleotide transfer RNA is filed under the name Puniceibacterium antarcticum. RNAcentral's name for it is "tRNA-Arg". The stretch from base 12 to 75 matches the Rfam family "tRNA". From Rfam's summary of the family: Transfer RNA (tRNA) molecules are approximately 80 nucleotides in length. The record is from RNAcentral. Lineage: Bacteria; Pseudomonadati; Pseudomonadota; Alphaproteobacteria; Rhodobacterales; Paracoccaceae.
GAACCUUUAACGAACUUGUAGUCUUGCGCUGCCCUCCGAAGGCAGAGGCCACUGGUUCGAAUCCAGUCGGGUGCACCA